This 451-nucleotide ribosomal RNA is filed under the name uncultured bacterium. RNAcentral's name for it is "bacterial SSU rRNA". It matches the Rfam family "Bacterial small subunit ribosomal RNA", at positions 340 to 786 of the family's 1533-position model. The record is from RNAcentral.
UACGGGAGGCAGCAGUGGGGAAUAUUGCACAAUGGGCGAAAGCCUGAUGCAGCUAUGCCGCGUGUAUGAAGAAGGCCUUAGGGUUGUAAAGUACUUUCAUCGGGGAGGAAAAACAAAACUAAUAAUUUUAUUUCUUGACGUUACCCGAAAAGAAGCACCGGCUAACUCCGUGCCAGCAGCCGCGGUAAUACGGAGGGUGCGAGCGUUAAUCGGAAUUACUGGGCGUAAAGGGCACGCGGGCGGUUAAUUAAGUUGGAUGUGAAAUCCCCGGGCUUAACCUGGGAAUGGCAUUCAAGACUGGUUAGCUAGAGUCUUGUAGAGGGGGUUAGAAUUCCAUGUGUAGCGGUGAAAUGCGUAGAGAUGUGGAGGAAUACCGGUGGCGAAGGCGGCCCCUGGACAAAGACUGACGCUCAUGUGCGAAAGCGUGGGGAGCAAACAGGGAUUAGAUACC